RNAcentral lists this ribosomal RNA (564 nucleotides) under uncultured Glomeromycotina. Its description in RNAcentral is "SSU rRNA". It matches the Rfam family "Eukaryotic small subunit ribosomal RNA", at positions 548 to 1114 of the family's 1831-position model. The record is from RNAcentral. Lineage: Eukaryota; Fungi; Glomeromycota.
UUGGAGGGCAAGUCUGGUGCCAGCAGCCGCGGUAAUUCCAGCUCCAAUAGCGUAUAUUAAAGUUGUUGCGGUUAAAAAGCUCGUAGUUGAAUUUCGGGAUCAAGGGAUCGGUCAUGCCUUGGUAUGUACUGGUCUUAUUGGUUCUCACCUUCUAAAGAACCAUGAUGUCAUUCAUUUGAUGUUAUGGGGAAUUAGGACUGUUACCUUGAAAAAAUUAGAGCGUUUAAAGCAAGCUUACGCUUGAAUACAUUAGCAUGGAAUAAUGAAAUAGGACAUCAGAUUCUAUUUUGUUGGUUUCUAGGAUCGACGUAAUGAUUAAUAGGGAUAGUUGGGGGCAUUAGUAUUCAAUUGUCAGAGGUGAAAUUCUUGGAUUUAUUGAAGACUAACUACCGCGAAAGCAUUUGCCAAGGAUGUUUUCAUUAAUCUAGAACGAAAGUUAGGGGAUCGAAGACGAUCAGAUACCGUCGUAGUCUUAACCAUAAACUAUGCCGACUAGGGAUCGGAUGAUGUUAAUUUUUUAAUGACUCAUUCGGCACCUUACGGGAAACCAAAGUGUUUGGGUUC